Molecule: ribosomal RNA, 255 nt
Filed under: uncultured bacterium
Lineage: Bacteria
Description: partial 16S ribosomal RNA
Rfam family: Bacterial small subunit ribosomal RNA
Source: RNAcentral
UACGUAGGGGGCUAGCGUUGUCCGGAUUUAUUGGGCGUAAAGAGCGUGUAGGCGGCCAGGUAGGUCUGCUGUGAAAACUCGAGGCUCAACCUCGAGACGUCGGCGGAAACCAUCUGGCUAGAGUCCGGAAGAGGAGAGUGGAAUUCCGUGGUGUAGCGGUGAAAUGCGCAGAUAUCAGGAAGAACACCCGUGGCGAAGGCGGCUCUCUGGGACGGUACUGACGCUGAGACGCGAAAGCCGUGGGGAGCGAACAGG